GAUGAAGAACGUAGCGAAAUGCGAUAAGUAAUGUGAAUUGCAGAAUUCAGUGAACCAUCGAAUCUUUGAACGCACAUUGCGCCCGGCAGUAAUCUGCCGGGCAUGCAUGUCCGAGCGUCAUUUCUGCCCUCGAGCGAGUCCAGCAUCUAGGUGCUGGGCCCGCCCGGCGUUGGGGCACUACGGGAAGCCCUGUGCUGUCCCCCGUAGGCCCCGAAAUGAAGUGGCGGUCCUGCCGCGGCGCCCCCUGCGUAGUAUAACAGCUCGCUUCGGGACCCGGUGGAGGCCUGCCGUCAAACCUUACUCUCUAAGUUUGACCUCGGAUCAGGUAGGGUUACCCGCUGAACUUAAGCAUAUCAAUAAGCGGAGGA
This 368-nucleotide unclassified non-coding RNA is filed under the name soil metagenome. RNAcentral describes it as "partial contains 5.8S ribosomal RNA, internal transcribed spacer 2, and large subunit ribosomal RNA". The stretch from base 1 to 120 matches the Rfam family "5.8S ribosomal RNA", at positions 35 to 154 of the family's 154-position model. The record is from RNAcentral.